CAACCAAGGACGUUAAACGUAUGUGUCUUACUGCCGUCUUCUUUGGCCACUGUCUGCAUAUGGAAGCGUAAUCUUGAGCUCGUCUGUUUGGCCUGAGGAUAUUAAGCACUUCGCGUUUGUGCUAAGUCCCCGAAGACGAGAGGACAACUCAAAUAGCUUUUAAACAACGAAAAGCUUGUACAGUUUUUCCCGGAUGAUUGUUCAUUACACAACGACUCAUAUACAGUUGCAUAAACUGGUUUUCAGAGUCGCGAUCCUAUACGAAUGACGUACCUACAUGGAUGUCAGAUCCUGUAUUCCAGAUCCGCUUUUUCAACCCGAUUUAUUAAAAGACCUUUUCACAUAUUUGCUUCUGUAGAGUAAGACAUGGACCCAUACUUUUUUUUCACGCUAAGGGAUUGAAUUGAACGAAUGGAGUUUAAAACGAGUCAAAAGGUAUAGCUAAAUGUAUUAUGUUUACUGCAUCUCAGUUACGAUGACACAGUAAAUGAAACAAUAAAAGAAAAUAAAUUUAUACAAAUGACAAUGAUCGAGUUUUACUUGGUAGUUCAAUAAUUGAUGAUUGAAAAUGUGACCUUUCAUGACUUUCAAUCCACAAGCAGACAUGGUCGACGGAGACCGUAAUCCGCAUAGAAGACGUAGUCUGCUAAUACUCGUCUGCUAGGCCUACGUCUGUUACCAAGUGGAUUAAAAAUCAUGGAUCAAGCAUCAAGGUCACAUUUUCAAUCAUAAAUUACCACAUUGACGGUAAUCAAUGACAUUCCUUCAGUGCGAAAUCUCAUUUUACAGACAACUACGUACUCUAUCCGCUGGCCAAGUAUAGGUGAUCCGGCAACAAGAAAGCCCAAGACUCCAACCCUAAACGUAUUGGUUGCUUAUCUGAGUCUUUUGUUGUGGCAAUGCUUCGAUAUUAGUCCUGUACGUAGCAGAGCAAAGAAACGUUGAAAUUGAAGAAAUGAAUUGUCUCUUUAAACGAUCGUAAGGAUUUUACCUUUCUUCAGAGAUUCUCCGCAAACUGAUUCCAUUCCAGACUGGUUUCUUGGUUUGCACAUCGCACACUGAACUCGAUCGACUAAAUUUCUCUUUUUUAAAGUCCAGAGCUUUGGCCAGACCCAACGGUUCGUUGGCCGGAGCACUCACUUUCUCUUGGUUCAAUUUUUCGUACGAUUGGUUCAAAUUUAAAUAGUGAUCACUGACGGUCGACUCCAUUUGAAGGCUGAUCUGCUGCUCCAUGUGGCUGAAUGUUGGUCUCUCCUUCGGGUCCGAUUUCCAACAACUCGCCAUGAUUUCUCCGAAAUAAUUGGGCGCAAAAUCGGGUUUCUCCAUUCGGUAGCCUUUCUCCAGUUGCCGUAUGAGUUCGUGAUUGGCUUCCAUACCUGGAUUUCGGAUGCGUUCGUCACUAUAGUUUCCCUUCCAAAGGUUCAAACGUGAACGACCUACCUGGAUAUGGCACUUUGCCUAAGGUGAAGAUUUCCCAAAGAAGAACGCCGUACGACCAGACGUCAGACUGAGUGGAGAAACGGCGAUCCGUCAGAGAUUCAAUGGCCAUCCAUUUGACGGGCAUCAAACCCUGGAUUCACCACAGCAUUUUUUAAAAAUGAGUAAGUGGGAAAGAAAAAGAAAAAAAAACAA
This is a long non-coding RNA of Daphnia magna, 1632 nucleotides long. RefSeq lists it as uncharacterized. NCBI's taxonomy places the organism in Eukaryota, Metazoa, Arthropoda, Branchiopoda, Diplostraca, Daphniidae. The record is from RefSeq and is a predicted model, not a curated record. The transcript has 2 exons.